RNAcentral lists this ribosomal RNA (492 nucleotides) under uncultured bacterium. RNAcentral describes it as "partial 16S ribosomal RNA". It matches the Rfam family "Bacterial small subunit ribosomal RNA", at positions 29 to 507 of the family's 1533-position model. The record is from RNAcentral.
AUUGAACGCUGGCGGCAUGCUUUACACAUGCAAGUCGAACGGUAACAGGCCUUCGGGUGCUAACGAGUGGCGAACGGGUGAGUAAUGCAUCGGAACGUACCCAGAGGUGGGGGAUAACGCAGCGAAAGCUGUGCUAAUACCGCAUGUGAUCUGAGGAUGAAAGCGGGGGACCGAGCAGCAAUGUUUGGCCUCGCGCCUUUGGAGCGGCCGAUGUCGGAUUAGCUAGUUGGUGGGGUAAAGGCCUACCAAGGCGACGAUCCGUAGCUGGUCUGAGAGGACGACCAGCCACACUGGGACUGAGACACGGCCCAGACUCCUACGGGAGGCAGCAGUGGGGAAUUUUGGACAAUGGGCGCAAGCCUGAUCCAGCAAUGCCGCGUGCGGGAAGAAGGCCUUCGGGUUGUAAACCGCUUUUGGCAGGAACGAAACGGUGUCCGCUAAUACCGGGCGCUAAUGACGGUACCUGCAGAAUAAGCACCGGCUAACUACGUG